This is a long non-coding RNA of Musa acuminata AAA Group (dessert banana), 3536 nucleotides long. RefSeq lists it as uncharacterized. Lineage: Eukaryota; Viridiplantae; Streptophyta; Magnoliopsida; Zingiberales; Musaceae. The transcript is spliced from 4 exons. The record is from RefSeq and is a predicted model, not a curated record.
CCUAAAUCGACCAUUCAAAACCCCAUCCAAAAACCCGUGGGGGAGGUCGACGGAUCCAAGAAGAGGAAGCACGAGCCCCCAGCGGCGAAGGGAGGGGGGAAGCUUAAGUUGACGUAGCUUAAGAACACCGCCUCCAAGCCGACGAAGCUCAAAACGCAAGGCUUCAAGAAGCAGUACAAGGCAUUCGAGUUAAAACUGGGAAAGCCUACCAAGUCCGACGAUGAGGCCACUGUACAGGUGAAGAAGGAGCCUAAGACCCCAAGGGAGAGGUGCUUGGCUACCAAGGAUGCUUCGAUCAGGAUUAGACAAUUAAAGCAGGAAGAAUCAUGUUGGGCCAAAGGAAUAUGUCAUAAGAUUGGACGUCGAGCUAAAGGAUCGGUCGAUGUAUCGAUAGAAGGCUUCGGGCCAUGGAUUCGGGCAUCGGACCAAGAAGAGCAUAUAUUACGCCAACGAUAUCAGAGUUACGGAUUCAACUAGCUUAUUGGGCAAUAGGCCGCAAAAGAGGGUAUUGCGCCGAAGAAUCGGACGAAGCGUCGAUGGACCAAUGACAUGCCGGACAACAUGAUUCAUACUUAGUAAUAAUUAUCUAGAUCGAAGUGUGUUUUUACAUGUGCAGGAUUAACUACGAUAGCAAGACAUAAAACAAAAAUGAAGUCCCAGAGUCAAGAACGCGAUUUCGUUGGGAGUUCUAGAGUUUGUCGAAAGUCUAGACGUUCGUCAGAAGUUCUGCCGGAACCAACCGAGAAGUCUUGAAGCUUGCCAAAGAAGCUUAUCGAAACUCACCAAGAAGAUCGUCGUGAAGUCCAGGAGCUUGCUGGGAGUCCGCUGGAACAUUGCCGAGAGAUCGUCGGAAGUUCGCUAGAAGAUCGCCGGAAGAAACCUAGACUUACGAACUUUUUUUAGCUUAGUAAAUGUCUUAAAUUUCAUAGUUAGCACAUAAUUAGGAUUAGAAUUGGGCCCAAGUUUGGGCUUUUUUGGGCCAAGAGAAAGACUCAAACAAUGAUCAAACAAGUGAAACCGUCAUGGCACAAUCUUCGAGAUUGUGUCAGGUGGUGGUACCGCUAGUCUGGGCAGUGGUACCACCCAGAUACAGUCUUCUAGGUGGUGGUACUACCAGACUAGGCGGUGGUACUGCCCGUACCCUGAAAUUUCGGGGGUUUGAAUUUUGUGCUCCAAAUUUGAAUCCAUUUGGGGCCUAUAAAUACCCCAGCUAUUCCUACAUGGAAAGGUAAGAAAUAUUGAGCAAAACUCUAUGAUUCUAAAGUUGUAAACCUUGGAAAGUUUAGUUCCCUCCUCCCAAAGCUUAGAGAGAGUUCUAAGGGAGGUGUGAGAGGGAUACCUUGUAAAAGAGGGUUGUAAAAGGUUGUCCCCUAAACCUGUGAAAAGGAGAAAAGGGAUGUAAAAGGAUAGUCAGUCUUCGCCCAUUGAAAGAAGAUCGAUAGUGGAUGCUGGUAGUCUCGACGGAAGAGGAAUCGACGAAGUGGAUGUAGGUCACGACGACCGAACCACAAUAAAAAUCUGGUUUACGUUUCUCUUGUGUAAUAUACUUUAUUGUAAACCACUUUACUUGCUUUACAUCCACUACUCUUCCGUACGCUUUCAAAGUUAAUACCUUUACGAAAUGGUUUUUCGUCGGAAACUGAUUUAAUCGCAAUGAAGUUUUGAACCGAUGUAAUUUUUACCGCUGCACUAAUUCAACCCCCUCUUAGUGCCAACUCUUUUCCUAACAAAACAGUGAUGUUUGAGAAUGUUUGUAGAUUUUUUAUAUCAUUUGGUUUGUCCAGGAAAUGGCAGAAACAAGGAAUAAGAAGAGGAAACCAAAUUACAACCAUGAGAAAGAAAUGGCUGAAACAAGGAAGAAGAAGAGGAAACCAAAUUACAACCUUGAGAAAAGUUUGCUUCAUGGUGGGAAAAAAUGAGAUGUUACAAUGUAGGCAAACAGGCGAUAUCGGAGUAAGUUCUCAACUGUUUUAUUGCACUCCAUUAGCUCUCUGCUAUUUAUGGGGAUAGUAUUUCUUUAGGCUUGUAAGUGAAUUCUUACGUAAGAUGAAUGAGAAGUUUGUGGAGAUUACAGGCUCUCAUGUUGCGGCACGUGUUCUUCAAGUGAUUUUAAGUUCAUACUUCUGACAUUUUUCUUGUGAACAACUAACUUCUAAAUUUUAUGUGUUCUCAAUGUUAUAUGACAAAGCAUGUGAUGGAUAUUAUGCUUUUUCAUUCUAUUAUUAAAUUAUUUAGUUCUUUUAUGGUGUUUUACUAUUUACCAGAUGUGUGUCAAAUAUUGUACACAAGAAGAAAGAGAUGUUGGUUUUUAGGCUCUUCGGCCUCAUCUUCUUUCUCUUUCAUGGAAAAAGUAUACAGCUUAUUUAGUAAAGAAACUUUUAGAUCAUGGUAUGUCAUAUAACUUGUGAACUGGAUAUGUUUUAUAGUAAAGCUAGACUUGAAUUAUGUGGAUCUUUUCCAUUGUUGAAUUAGAUUUCUUUUGUGUGUUCCUCAAUGAGCAGAAAACAACUAGAAUGGUUCAUAUCCUCUCUACAUGGAUAUGUGACUUCUCUUAUGCGACAUUCGGUUGGAUCUACAUGUUUGUAGGGUAUAAAAAAUUUAAGCAUUCUAGUAUAUUGUUAUUUAAUCAUAAUUUUGAUUAUGGAAAAUGGACCUGUGGGCUAUUUACAAUUCAAAUUUAAUUAUACUGUAACUGCAUGAGGUGUAAUUUAGAGGAAUUCUUAUCGAGGCAUCUUGCCACAAUUUUAUUAAUUUGGAGUUUAUACAUGUGUCUAGUUUAACAAUUGUUGCCCAAAUUUUAGCUUUUGUGAUUGCUCUAUUUUUAUUUUGUCAAAAACAACCCUUCUCCUUUGCCCUCCUUCUGUAACCCCUCUUCUAUAUCUAGGAAUGCUAAGGUUUAAAGCCUUAAGACUUGCCAAUCCAAUGAGUUGAGGUUGCUUAGAUUUAUAAUGAGACUUGAUAAAAGCUUUUAUGAGUAAGUGUAUAGUUUAUCAUUAUUAUAUGGUCUUGUUAUGGACCUUGCUCAUGAUAUUUGAGCUUAACUUAUCUACUUAUCGUCAUGACUUUUUGCUGUGGUUAACUCGAUCUUUUCUUUGGAAAGGCUAUUGAUAUACAUAAUUCAGGUUCAGUUUAAUUCAACAAGUCUUUUAUAUAUGAAUACAUAUAACACAUGCCAUUUUUAACGUAAAUUAAGCUAAAUUCUCUUUUAUACGUAGAUGCAAAUUAUAUGAUCAUUUGACUGAAUUGUUUAGGUUUACAACAAUGGCCCCCACCUACCACCAACACUAGCCCCCCUAUGAAAUAAAAAAUUGCUUAUUCUGUACCUUUUUAUUUACUUUGAUCCAUCCAAAAAAUCCCUCAAAAAAUGAACAGUCAUUUUGAGUGUUACACAUCUUUUGGUGAGAUUGUUGUGCACUCUCUCUUUUUAUCGCCGAUAUGUGUUGGCUUAUUUUUUUUAAAAAAAGAUUUUUAGAGCUUUUGUAUAACUGCUUAUAUUUUUAAUAACUUUUUAACAAAUUUUUUUGGGAUCUUGUUUC